GGGGCCGGAUUGGUUUCGACAGCAGAGACAGUGGGAUAGUUUGCAUGCCGAGGAUGGAGUGUUACCUCGUUAAUCAUCAUUCCAAUCGAAUAAAUGGCAACAAUUAUUCUGUUGCAUUAGCUGCUUAAUCCGAAUUGAUUAAGUGCUAAUUGCCUCCCCAGUAGCUAUACUCAGUGGCGACUGGGAUCUGGUAUCAUAAAUACUGAGUCCAUUAAAAGACUGGCUACAAUCUUUUAAUGGUAUCUUGUAGCUGUGGAAAUUAAUGGGAGCUUAUCCCCUAAUUAAUUUCCAAGAUUUAAUAGAUAGGCUAAGCAUGUAGAUGACUAUUUUGCUGGCUGCUUGGACGAGGGUUCGACUCCCUCCGGCUCCACUU
RNAcentral lists this transfer-messenger RNA (373 nucleotides) under Bacteroidales bacterium. It matches the Rfam family "transfer-messenger RNA". Rfam says of the family: Bacterial tmRNA, also known as 10Sa RNA or SsrA, is named for its dual tRNA and mRNA-like properties. Its role is to liberate the mRNA from a stalled ribosome. Lineage: Bacteria; Pseudomonadati; Bacteroidota; Bacteroidia; Bacteroidales. The record is from RNAcentral.